AUGCUUACCUGGCAGGGGAGAUUCCGUGAUCAAGAAGGCGGUUCACCCAGGGCGAGGCUCAGCCAUUGCACUCCGGCUGUGCCGACCCCUGCGAAUUGUGGGAAUGUUGACUGCAUAAUUUCUGGUGGUGGGGUACUGCGUUUGCGCUUUCUUUGU
This is a small nuclear RNA of 156 nucleotides. Its record names the gene U1. It matches the Rfam family "U1 spliceosomal RNA". Rfam says of the family: U1 is a small nuclear RNA (snRNA) component of the spliceosome (involved in pre-mRNA splicing). The record is from Ensembl.